GUUAUUACUUCCUUUUAUAUGUUGAAAGUCAUGUUUAUAGUUGAGGGAAAUUUGACAAAUAAAUUAAUUCUAGAAAGUAAGUAAGUGC
Molecule: long non-coding RNA, 88 nt
Organism: Thalassophryne amazonica
Lineage: Eukaryota; Metazoa; Chordata; Actinopteri; Batrachoidiformes; Batrachoididae
Exons: 3
Source: RefSeq, a predicted model, not a curated record